This 671-nucleotide long non-coding RNA is filed under the name Homo sapiens (human). Its description in RNAcentral is "HSALNT0364642". Lineage: Eukaryota; Metazoa; Chordata; Mammalia; Primates; Hominidae. The record is from RNAcentral.
CUCCGCCCGGCAGCCACCCCAUCUGGGAAGGAUCACUGGAUACUGCAAGGCAAUAUAGAUGGUAGACGGGCAAGAGUGGAAGCAUCUCUCCAAUUUGAAGAAGAUGGCAAAACGUUGCCCUUGCAUAACAUCAGAAGAUCCCUAAUGUCUGCCUUGAAGAGCUCUCGACAAUAGCAGCAAUGAACUACAGAAAAUGUUACAAUGUCAUUGCUACAUGAAGAGAAGAUCAAGAGAAUUCAGCCAGAAGACUGUAGAAACAAAGAUAUAACAGUUUUGGAUUAUUGCUUGCUCUUGAAAUGUGUUGUUUCAAAGGAACACAUUAUUUUGGACAUGCAAUCAGAUGAAACAUUAAAGGAGAGAAGCCUGAAGAACAAAGCAGCCACAGAUCAACAGGAGUAUAGUUUAUUAGAGGUUGGUUAGAGACUUUUUGCUAAUGAGCUGUACUGUCCAUAGGCAUCAUCAUGGGGUUCUCAAAUCUAAUGAUACCCAUGCCAUCAAUUCUGAGUAAAGUGGUUACAAAAGAAACUGAUAUUUAAUUUUUACUAUAAUAGAAAAUGGCAUGUAUAUGUGUCUUAAUUCAUUCAGUAGAUGCAACAUAGGGUAGUGGAAUGAUCACUUUCCUGUAUAAUUAAUUGUAAGAGCUAGAGUUCAUAUAAUCACUAAUUAUUAAA